GAAGAAAAAAAUAAAAAAGAAAGAGCUGAAGCCUGGAGCCCACUUUAUUUUGCCCGUAUUCUCCCAAAUUAUUCCCUCUUUAUGACUCUUUCUCCUCUUCUGCUCUGCAUUUUUUUCUCGUUCUCCAUUGUUGCUGCCUCUUUUUCCUUUUUAGCUAGGUUUUAAUUUGGACAUCUCGACUUCAAGCUCUAUAUUAUAUAGAAAUCUCAAUGGAUUCUCCUCUUCCUCUAUUUUGAUUUAGGCAUCUUUCUUUAUAGUCCAAAGUUCAACUUUUGAAGAUGGACUAUGCUACUGAAUCAAGGAAAACAAUUGAAUCUCAAAUAAAAAACUCAUCUCCCCAGUCCUUUAGCUUGCAAUCCUGCUGCUGCUAUUGCCUAAUGACCCUAAAACAGCUACGUUGCACGGUUUAGUCUUGUUCAUCAUGGGAUCAAUCAGAUCAUGGUGUUGCCCUGCAACAAACAGAACUUCAUAUCACGAUGAUGGGACACUGUCUAAAUCUGACCAAGGAAUUGAGAAAUAAUACUGGAAAACAAAUCAUACCAUCAAAUUCCUAUAAUUUCCUACCUAAUGUAGAACUUGAAAUUGAGAUGCCUAAAUUAAAACCUAACUAAAAGAGCUACCUCUUAAAGAGGAAGAAGAAACAUCAAUGGCGAACUAGAAAAACCCCAGGAGGAGGAGAAAGAGUUAAUAAAAUGGGUCAAUGUUAUAUUUUUAGCGGGUCGGGUCAAGUGGGUGGAUAACUAAAUG
Molecule: long non-coding RNA, 747 nt
Filed under: Solanum tuberosum (potato)
Lineage: Eukaryota; Viridiplantae; Streptophyta; Magnoliopsida; Solanales; Solanaceae
Description: long non-coding RNA (STUB_LNC006393)
Source: RNAcentral